UCGGGAAAGAUGGGGGUUGCCUUUGUUAAGUUUUAUGUGACUGUUCUGUGGCCCUGCUAGCUUAUAUUAGGGUUUUUUGGGGCAGUUGAAUACUCCAAGUCUGAAGAGCGUCCGACUGUGUCCAAGUGUCUGGACUUACUGAACUGUACUAAACAUUAAUCAUAUUAACCAUUCAUACUCAUAACUUAUUUACAUUUGUUUAACCUCCUACUGUGUGACCCACACUCCAGAUUUUACCGCCCAUAAUAUACCGUUGGUGUGCGAGUUUUGCGUGUGUAAUAC
Non-coding RNA from Pelobates cultripes (western spadefoot toad), 282 nucleotides. Lineage: Eukaryota; Metazoa; Chordata; Amphibia; Anura; Pelobatidae. The record is from the annotation of a GenBank genome assembly.